Quercus robur (English oak) is the source of this 2356-nucleotide long non-coding RNA. RefSeq lists it as uncharacterized. The transcript has 2 exons. The record is from RefSeq and is a predicted model, not a curated record. NCBI's taxonomy places the organism in Eukaryota, Viridiplantae, Streptophyta, Magnoliopsida, Fagales, Fagaceae.
UAGAGCAAUGUGGUGUUAAACCUAGUACAGAAAAGGAGCCAGGGCUGCGUAUAUUGAAGCGACAGGACCACUUUGCAACUUACCAAACGAAGGAUAUAUGCUAAGAAUAUCCUUUUUGCAUGGCACAUUCCAGAAUUUUCUGACUUAUCAUCAGCUAUAUAUAGAUAUAUGGACACCCAAAACUAUUCAUCAACGAAAUGAAUGAUCAAGUUUAUGGUUGCAUUACAGGGCAAUUACUCUUUUGGCAGUUAGCCACUCACCUGCACUGCAAAUGUGCACGUAAUUUGGUUCACAAGGCGGAGAUGCUCACUGCCAAAGGAGAUUUGCUCGGCAAUUCAGCUGUGCAAUCAUUCAGUCACCUAAUAUAUAUAUCAACCCGAAGGUUGGAGGUAAAAGUUCUAAGGAGGGGACUUUUAAUAGGAUUGAUUUUUUGAAUUUUGGAUUAUAAUGUGUAUAAUAAAUCAGAUAGGCCACAUGGGCACGUACCUAGGGAGGACGGAUCAUUGCACUCGCAGGAUUUUUCUCAUUACUUGCUUUACAAACUCCAUCUCAUACUCUCUAUACUUCUUGAGCACUUUCUUGUCACAGGAGAGGCUACCAAAGUCUCUUCCAUUAUUUCACGCUUCAAAUUCCAGGAGACUGUUGAUGAUGUCCCUAGAAAGAGAUAGGCUAUUUCAGAAAGCUUCAGACAAAACUAUACGUAUACUUUUUUUAUGUUCUCACAAUAUUCACUAUAAGUUAUUAUUAGUUAUUUGGCUAUUAUAAGAGUAUUUUAAAUACUAGUAAAGAUUCACCUACUCCUAGAUGAGCCAUCAAAUUUAAAUUACUCUAUUACUGAUCACGGUGACUCAUAUCAAAAUCAUUCAAUUUUAAUUUAAACUUAAUUAUCAAAUAACGUCUUGGGUUAUGGGUUGGGUCAAACCCAACCCGAUUUCUAACAAUGAGGAAGUGUUGUGUGUGGUACGGUUUAUUUCAUUAAGUUAUAAAAUACUUAUAUGUCUUGUUGGUAAUAGAGGGAGUAAACAAAGUGGUUAAAACUAGCUGAUUAAAUGUAAACUUUUGUUUAACAAAGUCGUGUUGGAAAUACUGCAUAUUUUAUUAAAAAUUGAUGCGUCACUGAUUAUAAAAUAUAAAUCAUCAAAAACUUAUUUAUAUUAUCUUGUUGAAAUAGUUUAUUAAAUUAAAAUUUGUAAUAAUUUAACAUUUUUCUUUCCAGGUUGCUAGGUUUGACUAAUUCAUAUACACAUACUAGCAUGAUGCACAUGUGCAUUGGAUCUGGGUGCGCACGCAUGCAUAAAAAAAGUUCCUAACACAUAACAACUAACAAGGAGAUAGAUUGUGAAAUGCGAAAGCAACAAACAGGUUGACUUACUUACCUGGAGGGGUCAUUGGGUGGGGAAAGAAUAAAGAUUCAAGAAAAGACCAUGACCUAAUGACCUAGGCUAGGUUAUGUGUGCCAGUGACCUUCAUUGCAUUUCUACAAAUUUCCAAAAAAAAAAAAAAAAAAUUGAUUUCACAUAGUAAAUAUUGUCAAUAAAUAUAUAUAAUUUCAAAAACUUAAUAUAAAGAUUGAUUGAGUUUGUAUCACGUAGGUUUAUAAUUAAAAAUAAAACUAGCUUGUAACUUUUUAUAUAUAUUUGCUUGUAAAUAUAAUUUAUAUAUAAUUAAAGUACAAUUAGAAGGAUACUUGACAUGAAAGUGAAAUGUAUUUAAAAUAUAGACACUUACCAUCAAAUUAAAAGACAAUUAAAAUAAUAUUUGACAUAAAAAUAGAGUGCAAUUAGAAUCUAAUUUGGAUCAUUCAUUUAACUUUCUCCCAACUUCUUGUUUUUUAUUAUAUAAUAUUGGAAAGCAAUUUCCUUAGUGUUCACAAUGGCUAUCCAUAAUUUAUUUCCUCUUUUUCGUGUAAUUAAUAAUUGAAUUUUCGAGGUAUUUGUUACAUUUUUAGAAGUAUUAGAGAAUUAUUUUAAAUAUUUUUUAUUGUGUAAAAUUUGAAGUGACCGUUCUAUAUUGUUUGGAUCAUUCUAUAUUUUUAUACUUUUAAGAGUUGUAUUUAUUUAAUCUUAAUUUUAGUGGGAGAGUUAAUUGUAAGCACCUAUGAACACUUUAGAGAGUAUCAUUAUUGGCCAGAUACAGUUGCAAGAUUAUAGUUAAUCAAUGAAUCUCUAGGUAAAUAGUAUGUUAAUAUGGAUUAAUGGACUUAGGUCAUUGUAUAAUUGGUGUUAGAAGGACUUGUAGUGGACCUUAGUCGAGAAGGUUUAGAGAGAAGUCGAAAAUUUUGUAAGCCUACCUGAGGCAAGUAACUUUUUCUUGACUAGUUAUAUAUGAUUUAAAAUAAAAUGCCUUCUUUAUUAAA